Molecule: long non-coding RNA, 651 nt
Filed under: Equus caballus (horse)
Lineage: Eukaryota; Metazoa; Chordata; Mammalia; Perissodactyla; Equidae
Description: lncRNA (ENSECAG00000056553.1)
Source: RNAcentral
CCAAAUACAGCCUCCUAAGUCCCAGCCAAGACCUGCUGAGGCAGCCUCUCUGGAGCAAGGCCCAGGAGUCUGCACUUUAUCCAGCAGGCCGCGUAACCUCAUCGCAGCCUAGUUCCCUAGGAGUGGCUGCGCGUUGUUGUGGCUGCACAGUGUUGAGAGGGAUUCUGAAGCUGUAUACUGAUUGACUAAGGAUGUCUGUCACAAGCUUUGAAAGGGAGAUGAUGAUACAUCACGUCUCGAGCUAGAAGCAUCUUAGAUGAGAUGUCACACCCUGAGAGGAGCCUUCCCGGGCCACCUAAAGCAGCACAACACAACCCUCCUGUCACUGACUACCACUUCUCCGGCACCUCACUGACUAUAAGCCCCAUGAAGGCAAGACUGCGUCUCUUUGGCGCACCACGUCCUCCUUGCUCUUCGCAGAAAGUGCGUGCUCAUCAAGCAAGUUUUGAAUGCAUGACUAAAGCAUCGGGGCAUUGCCAUCCCGGGACUCCAUGCCUGGCACCACGCAAGCACAGAAGAUAUGAUGCCACCUGGCAGAGACCGACAUUCAGAUAAAGAGAUGAGACCUGCUCAGAAGAAGGCGUAAAACUUGAACCCAAUGAAGGAAGCGAAGUGUUAUGAGACUACACGAAAACAAAAAACUUUAAAAAA